This 539-nucleotide ribosomal RNA is filed under the name Scheffersomyces shehatae. RNAcentral describes it as "eukaryotic LSU rRNA". It matches the Rfam family "Eukaryotic large subunit ribosomal RNA", at positions 92 to 649 of the family's 3401-position model. Lineage: Eukaryota; Fungi; Ascomycota; Pichiomycetes; Serinales; Debaryomycetaceae. The record is from RNAcentral.
AGUGAAGCGACAAAAGCUCAAAUUUGAAAUCUGGCACCUUCGGUGUCCGAGUUGUAAUUUGAAGAAGGUAACUUUGGAGUUGGCUCUUGUCUAUGUUCCUUGGAACAGGACGUCACAGAGGGUGAGAAUCCCGUGCGAUGAGAUGUCCAACUCUAUGUAAAGUGCUUUCGAAGAGUCGAGUUGUUUGGGAAUGCAGCUCUAAGUGGGUGGUAAAUUCCAUCUAAAGCUAAAUAUUGGCGAGAGACCGAUAGCGAACAAGUACAGUGAUGGAAAGAUGAAAAGAACUUUGAAAAGAGAGUGAAAAAGUACGUGAAAUUGUUGAAAGGGAAGGGUUUGAGAUCAGACUUGGUAUUUUGUAUGUCUUGCUUUCGGGUGGGGCCUCUGCAGUUUACUGGGCCAGCAUCGGUUUGGACGGUAGGAUAAUGACAUUGGAAUGUGGCACUACUUCGGUGGUGUGUUAUAGACUUUGUUGAUACUGCCUGUCUAGACCGAGGACUGCGUCUUUGACUAGGAUGCUGGCAUAAUGAUCCUAAACCGCC